AGAUGAGGAGCUUGCUCUUCAAAUCGAGUGGCGAACGGGUGAGUAACGCGUGAGGAACCUGCCUCAAAGAGGGGGACAACAGUUGGAAACGACUGCUAAUACCGCAUAAGCCCACGAUCCGGCAUCGGAUUGAGGGAAAAGGAUUUAUUCGCUUCAGGAUGGACCCGCGUCUGAUUAGCCAGUUGGCGGGUAACGGCCCACCAAAGCGACGAUCAGUAGCCGGUCUGAGAGGAUGAACGGCCACACUGGAACUGGGACACGGUCCAGACUCC
This 272-nucleotide ribosomal RNA is filed under the name uncultured Eubacteriales bacterium. Its description in RNAcentral is "uncultured Clostridiales bacterium partial 16S ribosomal RNA". It matches the Rfam family "Bacterial small subunit ribosomal RNA", at positions 69 to 339 of the family's 1533-position model. The record is from RNAcentral. Lineage: Bacteria; Bacillati; Bacillota; Clostridia; Eubacteriales.